GACGAACGCUGGCGGCGUGCUUAACACAUGCAAGUCGAACGGUGAAGCGCCUUCCUUUUUGGUGGGUGUGGAUGAGUGGCGAACGGGUGAGUAACACGUGAGUAACCUGCCCCCUUCUUCUGGAUAACCGCAUGAAAGUGUGGCUAAUACGGGAUAUUCUGGGUCUGUCGCAUGAUGGGUCUGGGAAAGAUAUUGUUUCGGUGGGGGAUGGGCUCGCGGCCUAUCAGCUUGUUGGUGGGGUGAUGGCCUACCAAGGCGGUGACGGGUAGCCGGCAUGAGAGGGUGGACGGUCACACUGGGACUGAGACACGGCCCAGACUCCUACGGGAGGCAGCAGUGGGGAAUAUUGCACAAUGGGCGCAAGCCUGAUGCAGCGACGCCGCGGGAGGGAUGGAGGCCUGCGGGUUGUGAACCUCUUUCGCCAGUGAAGCAGGCCUGCCUCGUUUGUGGGUGGGUUGACGGUAGCUGGAUAAGAAGCGCCGGCUAACUACGUG
RNAcentral lists this ribosomal RNA (494 nucleotides) under uncultured bacterium. Its description in RNAcentral is "partial 16S ribosomal RNA". It matches the Rfam family "Bacterial small subunit ribosomal RNA", at positions 28 to 507 of the family's 1533-position model. The record is from RNAcentral.